UAAAAUGAGGUGUUUGAAAGCAUUGAGGCGUUUGAUAGUAAGAAUUUUUUACGAACCAAUGCUUUCAAACAAUGGCUGAUGAGCCCCAAGCCAUCAAAUGAUCUCUGCUUCAUUCUUAUUAACAUGUCCAGUACUUAGAUGGAGUAUAAAUAUAGUAUGAAGGUUGUGGCUGAAUAAAUCUGUGCCAAAUAAUUUUAGUGUUCUUUCUUUCUUGAGUAUGUGCAUAUAUGAAACUUCAAUCCAAAAUAUAGUUUUAGAGCUUUUCUUAUGCCUUCUCAAGCGCAAUUCCAGGCAAGUGAUUUCCUUGUUUCAAGUAAGAGUCAUGCAGUUAAGGAGGAAAGAGAGUUAGAUGAUCUGGUGUACUCUAAUGAUGUCUAUGUAGAUACAACAUCUUUACUUGAACAGGUAAUUGUCUGCUUUGUCAAAUACUGUUUAGGUAGAUAAAUAAACAUGAUUUCGUUUAGUAUAGAUAAUCCAUUCUACAGGAGAACAACCUGGGCCAUCAAAUCAAUCUGGUUUAAGAUUUAUUAGUGUCAUUAUCAGUAAAUCCAAAGCUCUUAGGUUUGAGCAGAUGUUGUUUCGUGCUACAAAAGGCAACAUGCUUUUCAAUCAGGCACCAACUGAUGAACAAAUCUUGGAUCUUGCAUUAACUGAAGUGGUCAUUCUCUUAUUUAUAUUAUUAUCUUUUGGUCUUUUCGGAUAAAUUUUCUUUCUACGUAUUUUCUUACUAUAGCUUAUAAUUUGAAAGCCUUGAAUAUAUUCUACUUCUUAAUAGUAUGCUUUCUUCACUAGAGUGCUAUGUUGGUGUACUUCUAUUGCUUUGAAGACUAUGGCCUGGAUUUCUGAAUUCAACUAAUUUUGCUUGUAUAUUGCAUGUGCAGGUUGAGAAAAUUGUUAUUGUAGUGUUCUUCUUGGAGGAGCAAGCAAAGACAAAAAUAUUGAAAAUUUGUGAAGCAUUUGGUGCAAUUUGCUAUUUCGUACCCGAAGAUAUAAUGAAACAAAGGCAACUAACUCAAUAAGUUUUGUGUAUGAUAGACUGAACAUGCUGAAUUUUGAUGUUACAAAAAAAUGUCUUGUCAGAGAGGGUUGGUGUCCAAGAAUUGCCAAAACUCAGAUUCAUGAAGCACUGCAAUGGGCUACAAUUGAUAGCAAUUCACAAGUGGGUAUAAUAUUUCACACAAUGGAUGUUGUGGAACCACCUCUAACAUACUUCAGAACCAACCACUUUACAAAUGCAUUUCAGGAAAUUGUUGAUGCAUAUGGAUUGGUUUGGUUUUGAAGAAGUUGUUUGAAGAUGGUAUCGUGAAGCGCGAGAAUUUGUUUAUUACCUCCAAACUCUAGUUUGAAUCAGUCUUUAUUACCUCCAAACUUUGGUUUGACUUUAUGACUUUAUGCUCUUCAUAAUGCUUGUCCUUUUGAUAUUUGCUGUAUAAUUAGUUUUGAUUACUUUGUCUUUCCUUCUUUCAUUUUUAUUUUUUGUAGCCAAUUUUUCUUGAAAAUUUAUACAAUUGAUGCU
This is a non-coding RNA of Camellia sinensis, 1516 nucleotides long. The record is from RefSeq and is a predicted model, not a curated record. Lineage: Eukaryota; Viridiplantae; Streptophyta; Magnoliopsida; Ericales; Theaceae.